GAUGAACGCUAGCGACAGGCUUAACACAUGCAAGUCGAGGGGCAGCGCGGAGGUAGCAAUACUUCUGGCGGCGACCGGCGCACUGGUGAGUAACACGUAUGCGACCUGCCCCGGACAGGGGGAUAAACCCGGGAAACUGGGUCUAAUACCCCAUAUGUGCCAAGGACGCAUGUCCUAGGCAUGAAAGAUCCGUCGGUCCGGGAUGGGCAUGCGGCGCAUUAGCUUGUUGGCGGGGUAACGGCCCACCAAGGCGACGAUGCGUAGGGGUUCUGAGAGGAAGGUCCCCCACACUGGUACUGAGACACGGACCAGACUCCUACGGGAGGCAGCAGUGAGGAAUAUUGGUCAAUGGGCGAUAGCCUGAACCAGCCAAGUCGCGUGCGGGAUGAAGGCCCUCCGGGUCGUAAACCGCUUUAGCCGGGGAGUAACGUGCGGGACGCGUCCCGCAGUGAGAGUACCCGGAGAAUAAGCAUCGGCUAACUCCGUGCCAGCCGCCGCCGUAACAC
RNAcentral lists this ribosomal RNA (506 nucleotides) under uncultured bacterium. RNAcentral's name for it is "bacterial SSU rRNA". It matches the Rfam family "Bacterial small subunit ribosomal RNA", at positions 28 to 526 of the family's 1533-position model. The record is from RNAcentral.